This is a long non-coding RNA of Spinacia oleracea (spinach), 795 nucleotides long. RefSeq lists it as uncharacterized. The record is from RefSeq and is a predicted model, not a curated record. The transcript has 4 exons. Lineage: Eukaryota; Viridiplantae; Streptophyta; Magnoliopsida; Caryophyllales; Amaranthaceae.
UUAUAUUAUAUUAUAUUAUAUUGUGUUUUAGAAUGUUUGGAUCAAAAAUACAUUGAGUUCCCGAUUUUUGGUUAAUGGUUUAUUGGGGUUUUACAUAAUAUGCUCUAAUUCAAGCUGUGAAGAUUUGUUUUGAUUAUGUCUAAUGGAUUCUAGUUGAUUUUAUUUGUAGAUUUCGAUGUUGAACUUUGUAUAAACUUUCGUAAUCUGUUUGAAGUUGUUUGGUGCUGAGUGACUGUGUGAAUGCUUGAUAGACUUCGGAACGAAACAAACGGAGGUGAUUUGUAUCCUGUGAAGCGAAGGAAGAUGAAUUUUCAGAUCGACCUAAUCAGGAAAGAAGAAACUUAAUUUGGAGUUCUAUCAAGCUUUGCGAAUGCCGGCAUAAGUUCCGUCAACUGUAGAUGGAGUUCCACAAAAAUUGCAGUCCACUUCACAUAAUUGACAUUCUGUCUCUCGGAAUUUCAAACCCUUUCAACAGCAAAAACCUUCAUCAAGGGAAGAAACCAAUAGAGUAAAAGGUUUGCGCGUCUCUAUGUGGAGAUUCUUUCACCGAUGAGCAAAUUGAUGAAGUACGAGACAAAUGGGCAUCAUACUUCACUGAACAUUGUGUGUAAAUAAUUAACACUUCAUCUAUCUCUUUUUGUGGAUGUUUCCUCCUAUUGAAAUCAUAUAUAAUUGCCAUUUUUGAUGCAAAUUCGUAACAUACGAAGUGUAAAAGGCAUAUUUAUGAUCGACUUGAAACUAUUUAGGUGGUUUCAUUUGGUAAACAUAUGAUUGUCGACUUAUAUGUCAAAACUA